This 419-nucleotide unclassified non-coding RNA is filed under the name Hevea brasiliensis (rubber tree). Lineage: Eukaryota; Viridiplantae; Streptophyta; Magnoliopsida; Malpighiales; Euphorbiaceae. The record is from RNAcentral.
GAGGGAAAUCAAGCCUGCCCUCAGUGCAAGACCAGAUACAAGCGCAUUAAGGGUAGUCCUAGGGUUGAUGGUGAUGAAGAAGAAGAUGAUAUUGAUGACUUGGAGCAUGAGUUUGACUAUGGGAACUUUGAUGGCUUGGGUCCGGAACAAGUUGCAGAAGCAAUGCUCUCUGCACGCCUUAAUAUUGGGCACGCUUCUCAUUCUAACGUGUCUGGAAUUCCCACACACUCAGAAGUUGAUUCUUCUCCCCUCAGCUCUAAAAUUCCCCUUUUGACAUACGGCGAGGAGGAUGCUGAAAUUUCUUCUGACCGACAUGCUCUUAUUGUGCCCCCAUACAUGGGUCAUGGAAACAGGGUUCACCCAAUGCCUUAUUCUGAUCCAUCUAUACCUUUGCAACCUAGACCUAUGGUUCCUAAGAA